CAGCCGCCGCGGUAAUACGGAGGGUGCGAGCGUUAAUCGGAAUUACUGGGCGUAAAGCGUACGCAGGCGGUUUGUUAAGUCAGAUGUGAAAUCCCCGAGCUUAACUCGGGAACUGCAUUUGAAACUGGCAGGCUAGAGUCUCGUAGAGGGGGGUAGAAUUCCAGGUGUAGCGGUGAAAUGCGUAGAGAUCGGGAGGAACAUCAGUGGCGAAGGCGGCCAUCUGGGACAACACUGACGCUGAGGCACGAAAGCGUGGGGAGCAAACAGGAUUAGAUACCCCGGUAGUCCCUGUCUCUUAUAC
RNAcentral lists this ribosomal RNA (301 nucleotides) under uncultured bacterium. Its description in RNAcentral is "partial 16S ribosomal RNA". It matches the Rfam family "Bacterial small subunit ribosomal RNA", at positions 509 to 807 of the family's 1533-position model. The record is from RNAcentral.